CGCUGGCGGCGUGCCUAAUACAUGCAAGUCGAGCGAACGGACGAGAAGCUUGCUUCUCUGAUGUUAGCGGCGGACGGGUGAGUAACACGUGGAUAACCUACCUAUAAGACUGGGAUAACUUCGGGAAACCGGAGCUAAUACCGGAUAAUAUUUUGAACCGCAUGGUUCAAAAGUGAAAGACGGUCUUGCUGUCACUUAUAGAUGGAUCCGCGCUGCAUUAGCUAGUUGGUAAGGUAACGGCUUACCAAGGCAACGAUGCAUAGCCGACCUGAGAGGGUGAUCGGCCACACUGGAACUGAGACACGGUCCAGACUCCUACGGGAGGCAGCAGUAGGGAAUCUUCCGCAAUGGGCGAAAGCCUGACGGAGCAACGCCGCGUGAGUGAUGAAGGUCUUCGGAUCGUAAAACUCUGUUAUUAGGGAAGAACAUAUGUGUAAGUAACUGUGCACAUCUUGACGGUACCUAAUCAGAAAGCCACGGCUAACUACGUGCCAGCAGCCGCGGUAAUACGUAGGUGGCAAGCGUUAUCCGGAAUUAUUGGGCGUAAAGCGCGCGUAGGCGGUUUUUUAAGUCUGAUGUGAAAGCCCACGGCUCAACCGUGGAGGGUCAUUGGAAACUGGAAAACUUGAGUGCAGAAGAGGAAAGUGGAAUUCCAUGUGUAGCGGUGAAAUGCGCAGAGAUAUGGAGGAACACCAGUGGCGAAGGCGACUUUCUGGUCUGUAACUGACGCUGAUGUGCGAAAGCGUGGGGAUCAAACAGGAUUAGAUACCCUGGUAGUCCACGCCAUAAACGAUGAGUGCUAAGUGUUAGGGGGUUUCCGCCCCUUAGUGCUGCAGCUAACGCAUUAAGCACUCCGCCUGGGGAGUACGACCGCAAGGUUGAAACUCAAAGGAAUUGACGGGGACCCGCACAAGCGGUGGAGCAUGUGGUUUAAUUCGAAGCAACGCGAAGAACCUUACCAAAUCUUGACAUCCUUUGACAACUCUAGAGAUAGAGCCUUCCCCUUCGGGGGACAAAGUGACAGGUGGUGCAUGGUUGUCGUCAGCUCGUGUCGUGAGAUGUUGGGUUAAGUCCCGCAACGAGCGCAACCCUUAAGCUUAGUUGCCAUCAUUAAGUUGGGCACUCUAAGUUGACUGCCGGUGACAAACCGGAGGAAGGUGGGGAUGACGUCAAAUCAUCAUGCCCCUUAUGAUUUGGGCUACACACGUGCUACAAUGGACAAUACAAAGGGCAGCGAAACCGCGAGGUCAAGCAAAUCCCAUAAAGUUGUUCUCAGUUCGGAUUGUAGUCUGCAACUCGACUACAUGAAGCUGGAAUCGCUAGUAAUCGUAGAUCAGCAUGCUACGGUGAAUACGUUCCCGGGUCUUGUACACACCGCCCGUCACACCACGAGAGUUUGUAACACCCGAAGCCGGUGGAGUAACCUUUUAGGAGCUAGCCGUCGAAGGUGGGACAAAUA
RNAcentral lists this ribosomal RNA (1459 nucleotides) under uncultured organism. RNAcentral describes it as "partial small subunit ribosomal RNA". It matches the Rfam family "Bacterial small subunit ribosomal RNA". The record is from RNAcentral.